GAACUGCGCGAACGUUAUUCGGAAUCACUGGGCUUAAAGAGUCCGUAGGCGGCCUGGCAGGUGGGGUGUGAAAGCCCACGGCUCAACCGUGGAAUUGCGCUCCAAACCGUCCGGCUCGAGGGGGAUAGAGGUGAGCGGAACUGAUGGUGGAGCGGUGAAAUGCGUUGAUAUCAUCAGGAACACCGGUGGCGAAAGCGGCUCGCUGGGUCUCCUCUGACGCUGAGGGACGAAAGCUAGGGGAGCGAACGGGGGAUUAGAUACCCCGGUAGUCCUAGCUGUAAACGAUGAGCACUAGAUCGAGGGGACUCCCCACAUCCCCCUGGUCGUAGCGAAAGUGUUAAGUGCUCCGCCUGGGGAGUAUGGUCGCAAGGCUG
RNAcentral lists this ribosomal RNA (374 nucleotides) under uncultured organism. RNAcentral describes it as "partial 16S ribosomal RNA". It matches the Rfam family "Bacterial small subunit ribosomal RNA", at positions 527 to 896 of the family's 1533-position model. The record is from RNAcentral.